GUUUGUAGGUUGGAUUGUUUGGUUACAAACCGGCUGUGAUGAGGCGCGGGUCCCGGCCCCCAGAUUGUGAUGUCUCAGGGGGCGGUGGGCCGGGUGACGCAACUGGGGGUGGGCCCGUGGGUCCCAGUACCUGGUCCAGGAGGCAGCGUCUCCCUCCCGUCCGGGAUAAGACACCCCCUCCGCGGGUCCCCUGUCCACUCUGGAGAGGCAGCCCCCACUUGGAGGGACCAGGACCCGAGCCCUGCCCAUCCCCGAAUCCUGGGAGCCCUGCGUGGGGAGUGUCGAGGGCCUGGGUCGGGGGGCAAACUAGUGUGGAGACAUUAGAACACUAUUUAAAGAGUGUACAUCUCCUAGUGAAGCAAAUGAUAAACUUUCCCACCUACAAAGUGUGAGAUAUUGGCAAUGUAAAGAUGUGAAGAGAGAUACGGUACUAUGGAGGGAGAGAAAGCCCUGUGUAUGAGAUAUUUGCAACAGCAUUGCAGAUAGAUAGAUACAUAGAUAUAAUUUUUUAACAUUUGGAAUCAAAAGCAAACUUUAUGGCUGAUAGUCCCAGGAAGCUCACGCCUAUAAUCCCAGCACUUUGGGAGGCCGAGGAGGGUGGAUCACCUGAAGUCAGGAGUUCGAGACCAGCCUGGCCAACAUGGUGAAACCUCAUCUCUACUAAAAAUACAAAAAUUAGGCAGGCAUGGUGGUGGGCACCUGUAAUCCCAGCUACUCGGAAGGCUGAGGCAGGACAAUUGCUUGAGCCCAGGAGGCAGAGGUUGCAGUGAGCCAAGAUCGCACCACUGCACUCCAGCCUGGAUGACAGAGCAAGACUCCGUCUCUAAAUAAAUAAAUCAAUAUACAAACAAACAAACAAAUACUAAAGUGUGGCACAGAUAAAAUCCUUGAGCCAGUGCUUUGAGCUGACAUUCCUUACAUGGACAACUCAAUUACAACAGAUUUGUUGUGCAUCUAUUACUGUGCAGCUGACAUUGAUCAAGAACUCAAUAUUUCCCAAAGAUUGGGCCAAGUGCUUUGUAUGUAUUAUCUAAUUUAAUCCUCUCAACAACUCUUCCAAGGAGAUACUGUUAUCAUCCUGAUUUUAUUGAUGAGGAAACUAAGGACAAAAAAGUUCAGUAAUGUCCCCAAGGUCACAUAAGUCAUUAGGUUAGCCAAGAAGUAACUGGAGUCCAGAUGUUUUGCGGAAACCAAGUCUGAUCUUUCUGCUCUGCAGCAGCAGCCUUUGAGGAGAAUAGUUCAAGUUAGAAAUUCACUAAGAAAUACUUUCAGGCAAUUGUUGGUCUUAGGUAAACAAGAUCACAAGGGGCAAGUUUUCCCUAUUAGGCCAGGAGCAAAAUGUCUCUCCGUUGCCCUUUGCAGAAAGGUUUCUUCUGUGUGUGUGAAAUGCUGGGGAGAUUUCUGCCUCUGACCCUUGAGCAUCCCAAACACUGUGGCUGUGCUGGAAAAGUAUGUAUGUUUCCUGCUGUUCAAAUUGAUUUCAACAUGUAGAUUCCAAAACAAAGCAAAAACAAACAAAAAGGCUUUAUCCAAGCCAGCAAAAAGUCCAAAUCCAUCCUUGGUAGCCAGUGUCAACCAAAGAAGACCUCCACCAACUCUUCCCUUCCCACAGGGGCAUGCUGCUCCUCACAUGAAACAGGAGAAUCUCAUUUCUCCUCCCUUGAAAGUGGGCUGUGAUGCAAGACAGGUGAGCCCCAGAAUUGGGGCUUAGCUUGGGAGGGUUCUUGGCUUCAUCUAGGAAAGAAUACAAGGGUGAGCUGGUGGUGUUAAACAGAAACUUUUAUUGAAGCGGCAGUGUACAACAGCAGCAACAAAGGCAUUGCUCCUUGCAGAGCAGGGCUACCCCAUGGGCAGCAUACCCAGAAUAGUGGCUCAGAGGCAGUUCUGCAGUCGCAUUUAUACUCACUUUUAAUUAUAUUGCAAAUUAAGGGACAGUUUGAGCAGAAAUUUCUAGGAAAAGUAUGGUAACCUCUGGAUUGCUGGGUCAUUGCCAUGGAAGGGGGUGGUAACCUUCAGGUGUUGCCACAGCAAUGGUAAACUCACAUGGCAAACUGGUGGGGUGUCUUAUGGGGAAGUGCUUCUGUCCCAGCCUGUUUUAGCUAGUCCUCAGUUUGUUCCGGUAUCUGAGCCCCACCUUCAGAGUCGAGUCCUGCUUCCUACUUCAGCUGGACUUAAUGACUUGCUUGGCUAAGAGAAUGUAGUGGAUGCAAUAUUUGGGGGCCCCUGAGGCUGGGUCAUAGGAAGCCUUGCAGCGUCUGUCCUAGCCUCUUAGAACACUUGCUCUGGUCACAGGCUUCUUCCAUUUAAUCAAUCUGAGAGUGCCAUGCUAUGAGGAAGCCCAGUCAGCAGCAUAUGGGGUGACAUAGGUCCCACCAGCCCCCAACUGCUUGAGCCAUCUCAGCCCAGGAGCCAAGCAGGUGAGUGAAAAACCCACCUCGGACAAGCGCUCAUCUUCAGCCCAGCUGAGCUUUUGGCCUGGCUGGAGCUACAGCCCCAGCUAUCACCUGUAUCACCUGACUGCAACAGCAUGAGAGAUCCCAUACAAGAAUUUCCCAGCAGAGCUCAGUCAACCCCCAAAAUCCUUGGAGAAAAUCCAUUGCGUAGUUUUAAGCUGCUCAGCUCUGUCAUGCGGUACUAGCUAACUAGAGCACGAUCCUCUCCUCUCCAUCUCCACAGCAUCCUGGUCCCGGCCAUGGUCAUCUCUCCCUUAGAUGCCCUCCACCACCACCUACCUGUUUCCUUGUCCCCCAUGGUGGUCUCCGACCUCACUCUCCAGGGUGAUCUUAAAAUGUCAUUGGAGCAUGUCACUCCCUGGCCUCCCCCUGCACAUCUCUUGAAAAUCAGCCUCCUUGCCGUGUUCACAGGGCUUGAGAAAGUUUGACCCCUCAUCUCAUUAGCUCCCCGCUCCUCUUUCAAGCCACCUGUUCCUUUCAGUUCCUCAAAAGAGCUGCUUUAUGUGCAAACCCUAUGACCCAAGAAUUUCACUGGUGGUCUACACUCACUAGAAGUAUACAAAUAUCAGCUGGAUGUGGUGGCUCAUGCCUGUUAACCCCAGCACUUUGGGAGGCCGAGGUGGGUGGAUCAUUUUAGGUCAGGAGUUUGAGACCAGCCUGGCCAACAUGGCGAAAACCCGUCUUCUAUUAAAAAUACAACAAUUAGUUGGGCAUCAUGAUGCAGGCCUGUAAUCCCAGGCCUGAGGCAGGAGGCUGAGGCAGGAGGAUCGUUUGAACCUGGUAGGUUGAGGUUGUAGUGAGCCGAGAUCACGCCACUGUACUCUAGCCUGGGCGACAGAGCGUGACUCCAUCUUGAAAAAAGAAAAAAACAAAGUGUACAAAUAUAUUCCUUGAAAGAUGUGUUCAGGAGUAUUCAUGGCAGUGUUAUUCUCCAUAGCCAACACAGCCCAAAGAUCCAUCAGGAGGAGGAUGGGUAAAUAAUGGAAUACGAUUUAUCAAGAGGAGAAGAAGAGAACAACACGGAUGAGUCUCACAACUCUAACAUGGGGUGAAAGCAGCCAGAUACAAAAUAAUGCACAAUGCAGAGUCCAGUUGAAAAAACGCUACAAAAAUAACACAAUCUGUGAUGAGAAAAGUCAGGAUAGUGGUUAGCCUGGGAGGGAGGUGGGAAAUGGAAGGAGCGUAAGGAGUGCCUCUGGGGUGCUGGUCAUGCUUUGUUUCUCAUAUGGGUCUGGUCGUACAAGCGUGUUAUUCUCUAGGGGGUAGUUCGCCAAUUGUACAUUUUCUGGCUGGAUGUUCAAUAAAGUGUUAAAAAAAAAAAAGUGCUGUCCUAUCUCCUUCCAAAUGACUUUCCUACACACACCUUCCAAAUUCCUCCACCAGGAAUUUACUGCUUUCUCUUAGUCUUCUUCUGGUUGUUCAGAUCUAGCUCAGCCCUCCCCUCCUCGGGGAGCCCUUCCUCUGUUGCAUCAGUUAGUCUUGGCUGUGGGGCGAUCAUACCUACAAGCAAAGCACAGUGACUCAAAGCAGUCUCAUUAAUUAGCUCAUGAUUCUAUGGCUGGCAAUUUGGGCAGUUCUUAUGCUGCUGGGGAGGAUAAUGUGGACCAGUUUUGAGAAAGCAAGACAUGAAGAAAGAGAAUCCUGGUUCAGUGCCCAUCUGGAAAGCUUCAUUCAUGCUGAUCUGAUUUAGUGCGUCG
Pan troglodytes (chimpanzee) is the source of this 4150-nucleotide long non-coding RNA. The record is from Ensembl. Lineage: Eukaryota; Metazoa; Chordata; Mammalia; Primates; Hominidae.